This is a long non-coding RNA of Anguilla rostrata (American eel), 2074 nucleotides long. RefSeq lists it as uncharacterized. The transcript has 2 exons. The record is from RefSeq and is a predicted model, not a curated record. Lineage: Eukaryota; Metazoa; Chordata; Actinopteri; Anguilliformes; Anguillidae.
AGAAUAUCUACAAAUUAACAAAUUAAUGGAAAAACCUGAGUAAAUGAGCGUAGAAACAUAAUGAAUGCAAAUGCUUCCAUACAGGUGUACUGCAUGGUACAAUUAAACAAUUAACAUCCCAUCAUACUCUGUGGCAUGUAUAAAAAUGCUGAGCAAGCCCAGCUGACCUCAAUUUUAGAUCAAGAUGGCAGGAGGAAAAGAUCAAAGUGACUUUGAAAGAGGGUUCAUCAUUGGAGCAUGAAUGGCUGAAACUUCAGUCACAAAGACUGCUCAACUGGCUAGCGUUUCGAUAAGAACAGUUACUAAAGUGAGAUCUGCAUUUAGAUCUAUGGGAAAGACAUCAGUAAAUAGGGUUGGGAAUUGUUGCCCAAAGUGUAUAUUCAAUGACCGUGAUACUCGUGCAUUAGUGCGACAUGUAAGGAAAAACAGAAGAGCAACUCUACUACAUAGAGAGGGAUAUUAUAGAUAGGUUGCAGUGCAUAAACCCCUCAUUACAAAGACAAAUGCAUAUUUCAGAGUUCAGUGGUACAUAAACCAUAGGCACUGGUCUCUAGAGAUCUGGGAAAAAAUUGAUAUAGUCAGAUGAGUCAUCCUUCACCAUAUUCUUGACUAGUGGGCGAGUGCACAUGUGGCGUACACCAAGAGAACAGUACUGACCUGUGUUAUAUGACCCCUGUCGUAAGAUUUGUUUACAUUUGUCUCUGUUGCUUGUGUUUCAUCUUUCUGGUUUGUCAUCAGAUUGGCCGUUUCCGUCGCUGGUUACCCAUAUUGAAAAAGUCGCCGUUUUCCACUUACCAGGGAGGCUAGAUCUUUGAACUCAUGAUUGGUGUGUUGCUUCGUUUGACUUUGCGCAUUUUGAUUCCUGUCUAGCCCUUCUGAUUUGUUUGCUGAUUAGAUUCAUGUAUAACCACUGACUUGUUCCCUUCGACUCCAAUUCUUUCCUUAGCUUGUUUGACCUGUGAUUUUGUGGGUCUGACCGUUUGCUCUCGUAUUUGAUUCCAAUUCUCGCCUAGUUCCUUUGCUUUGUUUGCUGAUUGGAUUUCAAGUUUGAUCAUUGUUUCGCUUGAUUUCAACCUUGACUUUCGGUUGCCCUCUGCUUACCAUACAGUGCUCCGGUUAGUUAGUGUGUUCCCAGUUGGACUGCAAAUCCUUCCAUCCAAACAACUUUGUUAUUUUGCUUUGUUAUUUUCCUUUAGAAUUUUUGAAAGUACUCUGGGUUGAGCUUUAACUCUCCAUUGGGGAUACACUAUUCAGACUUUUUGUUUCAGACUGUUGACUAUCUGUCUGAAGCUCAGCGCUGAAAGCCGCCCUGCGAUCAGUACCCUUCGAAGACUAGCCAGUUGUCAGUUAUAUUUGGAUUGGCAGAUAAGGACCAGAGUUACUGUGAGGAGAUCCAGUGGCAGUCAUGCUGUGGGGAGCAUUUUGCAGGUAUUGUUUGGGUCCACUCAUCCCCUUAGAGGGAAGGGUCACUGCAAAUAAAUACAAAGUUAUUCUGAGUGAUCACCUUUAUCCUAUGAUGAAGCAUUUCUAUCCUGAUGGGAGUGGUCUCUUCCAGGAUGCCCUCAUCCACAGGGCACGAGGGGAGAUCAGUGCCAGUUCCAGAAAUGUCCAGUAUGAGGGGAUGCCCCACAGCCAUAAGCCUCAUAGUCCUGCUUCUAACGUGUAGCCUGCUGUUUGCUAUGCUUGCUGUGAAGGCUCAAAAUAUAAACAAAGCAAACAAAAUACAACUUGAUUGCUUUGUCCUUUGAUAAUGUUAAUAUUAAUGUUAAUAAUAUUGAUGUAUAAAACAAAGUUAUCAUGAGAAUAGAAGUGUUUUAAAGCACUGUAAACAUAUCUAAAGCGUUCAUUCUGGCCAUUGAAAUUCUCCUCUGUGUAGUCCAAUUUAAAUUUUUAAAAUAUUUGCUGGCACAUAACAGGUUUUGCCAUUAAAUAUACUUAUUUUCAGCAUGUGAGUUUUGAAUACAAAUUUUAAAUGGAUAAAAAAAGUGAAUGUAUUUGCUGUUCAGCAAAAUGGGAAAUUUGUCCGAGGGUCUGAAUGCUUUUGCAACUAAGUGUAUGUAACUGACAGUAUGUA